Molecule: non-coding RNA, 72 nt
Organism: Pangasianodon gigas (Mekong giant catfish)
Lineage: Eukaryota; Metazoa; Chordata; Actinopteri; Siluriformes; Pangasiidae
Source: the annotation of a GenBank genome assembly
UCCCUGGAGGACGAGUGGUUAGGCCGCAGCUCUCACACUGCUGUAGCCCGGGUUUGAUUCCUAGCCAGGGAA